Molecule: transfer RNA, 76 nt
Filed under: Opitutaceae bacterium
Lineage: Bacteria; Pseudomonadati; Verrucomicrobiota; Opitutia; Opitutales; Opitutaceae
Also listed under: 1 other name
Description: tRNA-Trp
Rfam family: tRNA
About the family: Transfer RNA (tRNA) molecules are approximately 80 nucleotides in length. Their secondary structure includes four short double-helical elements and three loops (D, anti-codon, and T loops). Further hydrogen bonds mediate the characteristic L-shaped molecular structure. tRNAs have two regions of fundamental functional importance: the anti-codon, which is responsible for specific mRNA codon recognition, and the 3' end, to which the tRNAs corresponding amino acid is attached (by aminoacyl-tRNA synthetases). tRNAs cope with the degeneracy of the genetic code in two manners: having more than one tRNA (with a specific anti-codon) for a particular amino acid; and 'wobble' base-pairing, i.e. permitting non-standard base-pairing at the 3rd anti-codon position.
Source: RNAcentral
AGGGGUGUAGCUCAAUCGGUAGAGUAGCGGUCUCCAAAACCGUUGGUUGGGGGUUCGAUUCCCUCCGCCCCUGCCA